GCUAAACGCGAAGAACCUUACCAAGGCUUGACAUAUACCGUUUAUCCCUAGAGAUAGGGAGUCCUUCGGGGCGGUAUACAGGUGGUGCAUGGUUGUCGUCAGCUCGUGUCGUGAGAUGUUGGGUUAAGUCCCGCAACGAGCGCAACCCCUAUUGUAUGUUGCCAUCAGGUAAUGCUGGGCACUCAUACGAGACUGCCGGUGAUAAGCCGGAGGAAGGCGGGGACGACGUCAAGUCAUCAUGGCCCUUACGCGUAGGGCUAGAAACGUGCUACAAUGGCAAUGACAGUGGGCAGCAACACGGCAACGUGAAGCUAAUCUCCAAAAGUUGUCUCAGUUCAGAUUGUCCUCUGCAACUCGAGGGCAUGAAGCUGGAAUCGCUAGUAAUCGCAAA
RNAcentral lists this ribosomal RNA (391 nucleotides) under uncultured bacterium. RNAcentral's name for it is "bacterial SSU rRNA". It matches the Rfam family "Bacterial small subunit ribosomal RNA", at positions 954 to 1348 of the family's 1533-position model. The record is from RNAcentral.